UGGGGAAUUUUGGACAAUGGACGCAAGUCUGAUCCAGCCAUGCCGCGUGCGGGAAGAAGGCCUUCGGGUUGUAAACCGCUUUUGUCAGGGAAGAAACGAGUUUCUCUAAUACAGAGACUUAAUGACGGUACCUGAAGAAUAAGCACCGGCUAACUACGUGCCAGCAGCCGCGGUAAUACGUAGGGUGCAAGCGUUAAUCGGAAUUACUGGGCGUAAAGCGUGCGCAGGCGGUUAUGUAAGACAGAUGUGAAAUCCCCGGGCUCAACCUGGGAACUGCAUUUGUGACUGCGUAGCUAGGGAACGGCAGAGGAGGAUGAAAUUCCGGGUGUAGCAGUGAAAUGCGUAGAUAUGCGGAGGAAAACCGAUGGCGAAGGCGAUCCCCUGGGGCUGUACUGACGCUCAUGCACAAAAGCGUGGGGGGCAAAAA
Molecule: ribosomal RNA, 427 nt
Filed under: uncultured bacterium
Lineage: Bacteria
Description: bacterial SSU rRNA
Rfam family: Bacterial small subunit ribosomal RNA
Source: RNAcentral